CUCUUGCUCCCUCUUUUUGUUCUCAACAUUGCUUUCUUGAACAUGGUAUUCAUACGGAUCUUCUUCGAGGUUGGUUGUCAGAGAAGCAAUGUCGAGUAACAGGUUUAAGAAAGCUGUGGACAAACAUGAAAAAAAUCAUAAAAACAAACAUAACGCAGCAUGGCGGGUUCGAAGGCGAUGUCAUAAGAACGGCAUCCGUUCUUAUUUUUCGGGUUGAUUAUUUGAAGGUAUUUGCUCAGUGGUGCCACUACCUCAUUGGUUUUACAGUUCCCCAUGAAGUGGUAAUGGAUGUGCAAUGGUACAGGACUCGGCCAAGUUUACUUGAGCUCGCGUGUAACUCAGCCUCCUCAGCCAGCUGUGGGUUUUGAGGUAAAAAAUAUUAUAAAACAGAAAAAUACAUAAAAACAAAUAUGGAGAACACUAUUAUAUUAGUUAGAAUUAAGCUUUUCGAUGAUUGUGAUAA
Molecule: long non-coding RNA, 463 nt
Organism: Amborella trichopoda
Lineage: Eukaryota; Viridiplantae; Streptophyta; Magnoliopsida; Amborellales; Amborellaceae
Source: RefSeq, a predicted model, not a curated record